UACGGAGGGUGCAAGCGUUAUCCGGAUUCACUGGGUUUAAAGGGUGCGUAGGAGGGCAGGUAAGUCAGUGGUGAAAUCUCCAAGCUUAACUUGGAAACUGCCGUUGAUACUAUCUGUCUUGAAUACUGUGGAGGUCAGCGGAAUAUGUCAUGUAGCGGUGAAAUGCUUAGAUAUGACAUAGAACACCAAUUGCGAAGGCAGCUGGCUACACAAAUAUUGACACUGAGGCACGAAAGCGUGGGGAUCAAACAGG
RNAcentral lists this ribosomal RNA (253 nucleotides) under uncultured bacterium. RNAcentral's name for it is "partial 16S ribosomal RNA". It matches the Rfam family "Bacterial small subunit ribosomal RNA", at positions 524 to 776 of the family's 1533-position model. The record is from RNAcentral.